RNAcentral lists this unclassified non-coding RNA (312 nucleotides) under plant metagenome. RNAcentral's name for it is "partial contains 5.8S ribosomal RNA, internal transcribed spacer 2, and large subunit ribosomal RNA". The stretch from base 1 to 104 matches the Rfam family "5.8S ribosomal RNA", at positions 50 to 154 of the family's 154-position model. The record is from RNAcentral.
GAAAUGCGAUACGUAAUGUGAAUUGCAAAUUCAGUGAAUCAUCGAGUCUUUGAACGCACAUUGCGCCCCCUGGUAUUCCGGGGGGCAUGCCUGUCCGAGCGUCAUUUCUGCCCUCAAGCACGGCUUGUGUGUUGGGCCCCGUCCUCCGAUCCCGGGGGACGGGCCCGAAAGGCAGCGGCGGCACCGCGUCCGGUCCUCGAGCGUAUGGGGCUUUGUCACCCGCCCUGUAGGCCCGGCCGGCGCUUGCCGAUCAACCCAAAUUUUUAUCCAGGUUGACCUCGGAUCAGGUAGGGAUACCCGCUGAACUUAAGC